Molecule: ribosomal RNA, 483 nt
Filed under: uncultured bacterium
Lineage: Bacteria
Description: partial 16S ribosomal RNA
Rfam family: Bacterial small subunit ribosomal RNA
Source: RNAcentral
GACGAACGCUGGCGGCGUGCCUAACACAUGCAAGUCGAGCGGGGAUUUAAGUGGAAGUUCUUCGGAAUGGAGAUUUAAAUUCUAGCGGCGGACGGGUGAGUAACGCGUGAACAAUCUGUCCCGGACAGGGGGAUAACACUUGGAAACAGGUGCUAAUACCGCAUAAGACCACGGCCUCGCAUGGGGCUGAGGUAAAAGGAGCAAUCCGGUUCGGGGUGAGUUCGCGUCCGAUUAGCUAGUUGGUGAGGUAACGGCCCACCAAGGCGACGAUCGGUAGCCGGCCUGAGAGGGUGAACGGCCACAUUGGAACUGAGAGACGGUCCAAACUCCUACGGGAGGCAGCAGUGGGGAAUAUUGGGCAAUGGGCGAAAGCCUGACCCAGCAACGCCGCGUGAGGGAAGAAGGUUUUCGGAUUGUAAACCUCUGUCCUAUGGGACGAAGGAAGUGACGGUACCAUAGGGGGAAGCCCCGGCUAACUACGUG